UACGUAGGGGGCUAGCGUUGUCCGGAAUCAUUGGGCGUAAAGCGCGUGUAGGCGGUUUGGUAAGUCCGCUGUGAAAGUCGGGGGCUCAACCCUCGAAUGCCGGUGGAUACUGUCGAACUAGAGUGCGGAAGAGGCGAGUGGAAUUCCUGGUGUAGCGGUGAAAUGCGCAGAUAUCAGGAGGAACACCAAUUGCGAAGGCAGCUCGCUGGGACGUAACUGACGCUGAGACGCGAAAGCGUGGGGAGCAAACAGG
RNAcentral lists this ribosomal RNA (253 nucleotides) under uncultured bacterium. RNAcentral describes it as "partial 16S ribosomal RNA". It matches the Rfam family "Bacterial small subunit ribosomal RNA", at positions 524 to 776 of the family's 1533-position model. The record is from RNAcentral.